Molecule: ribosomal RNA, 700 nt
Filed under: uncultured bacterium
Lineage: Bacteria
Description: bacterial SSU rRNA
Rfam family: Bacterial small subunit ribosomal RNA
Source: RNAcentral
UCAGGCCUAACACAUGCAAGUCGAGCGGUAGCGGGAAGAGCUUGCUCUUUGCCGACGAGCGGCGGACGGGUGCGUAACACGUAGGAAUCUGCCUGGUAGUGGGGGAUAGCCCGGAGAAAUCCGGAUUAAUACCGCAUACGCCUUACGAGGGAAAGGAGGGGACUCUUCGGAGCCUUUCGCUAUCAGAUGAGCCUGCGUCGGAUUAGCUUGUUGGUGGGGUAAAGGCCUACCAAGGCGACGAUCCGUAGCUGGUCUGAGAGGAUGAUCAGCCACACUGGGACUGAGACACGGCCCAGACUCCUACGGGAGGCAGCAGUGGGGAAUAUUGCACAAUGGGCGAAAGCCUGAUGCAGCCAUGCCGCGUGUGUGAAGAAGGCCCUAGGGUUGUAAAGCACUUUCAGUGGGGAGGAAAGGUUGAAGGUUAAUACCCUUCAGCUGUGACGUUACCCACAGAAGAAGCACCGGCUAACUCCGUGCCAGCAGCCGCGGUAAUACGGAGGGUGCGAGCGUUAAUCGGAAUUACUGGGCGUAAAGCGUGCGUAGGCGGCCACCUAAGUUGGAUGUGAAAGCCCCGGGCUCAACCUGGGAACUGCAUCCAAAACUGGGUGGCUAGAGUACGGGAGAGGAGUGUGGAAUUUCCUGUGUAGCGGUGAAAUGCGUAGAUAUAGGAAGGAACACCAGUGGCGAAGGCGACACUCUG